AGGACGAACGCUGGCGGCGUGCUUAACACAUGCAAGUCGAGCGGAAAGGCCCUUCGGGGUACUCGAGCGGCGAACGGGUGAGUAACACGUGAGUAAUCUGCCCUUAGCUCUGGGAUAGCUCCGGGAAACCGGGAUUAAUACCAGAUACGACCACUUUAGACAUCUGCCGUGGUGGAAAGAAUUUCGGCUAAGGAUGAGCCCGCGGCCUAUCAGCUAGUUGGUGAGGUAACGGCUCACCAAGGCUAAGACGGGUAGCUGGUCUGAGAGGACGACCAGCCACACUGGAACUGAGACACGGUCCAGACACCUACGGGUGGCAGCAGUCGAGAAUUUUUCUCAAUGGGCGAAAGCCUGAAGGAGCGAUGCCGCGUGGGGGAUGAAUGGCUUCGGCCCGUAAACCCCUGUCAUUUGUGAACAAAUUGUUUCAUCUAACACAUGAAAUAUUGAUAGUAACGGAAGAGGAAGGGACGGCUAACUCUGUGCCAGCAGCCGC
This 493-nucleotide ribosomal RNA is filed under the name uncultured bacterium. Its description in RNAcentral is "SSU rRNA". It matches the Rfam family "Bacterial small subunit ribosomal RNA", at positions 26 to 518 of the family's 1533-position model. The record is from RNAcentral.